GGGGCGCCGAGGGGACGGGGGGGCUCCCGGAGACGGGGCCCCUCUGGAACCUCCCGCACCGCCCGCGGAGGGCGCCGGCGGGCCGCCGCAAGGCGGGGGUAAAAACCAGCCGGCGCUGCGGCCCCCAAGCAGGGCCUGUGAGGCCGCGGCGAGGCCCGGGUAGGGGGCUAGAUCGAUACCCCGACAGAAGCGGGGGUAUGCGGCGCCCC
This 209-nucleotide RNase P RNA is filed under the name Pyrobaculum neutrophilum V24Sta. Its description in RNAcentral is "Thermoproteus neutrophilus V24Sta RNaseP truncated form". It matches the Rfam family "RNaseP truncated form". Lineage: Archaea; Thermoproteati; Thermoproteota; Thermoprotei; Thermoproteales; Thermoproteaceae. The record is from Rfam by way of RNAcentral.